Molecule: non-coding RNA, 380 nt
Organism: Sardina pilchardus (European sardine)
Lineage: Eukaryota; Metazoa; Chordata; Actinopteri; Clupeiformes; Clupeidae
Product: small Cajal body-specific RNA 2
Exons: 1
Source: RefSeq, a predicted model, not a curated record
CCCGCAACCCGGCAGUGCUUCUUUGAAUGAACGUUUGUGUGGAGUGUUUGGUGCGUGUUGUGUGAGUGAAUGUGUUUGAAUGUAUGUGGAGAGAUGUGUGUUUGAUUGUCUGUGUUGUUCGUAUAAUUCUUAAAAAUCUACACCGUGAUCUUAUUUGAUCCAAUCGGAAUUCUGCCCUGGUCCGAUUUGGAAAUGAUAAAAUCCGAUAUGCGAGCCAGCUUGGCGGUGUGCAUGAGGCAUCUCACAAACUUUGGGGCAUACACAAUUGAGAUUGUGGUUUGAAGUGAUGAAUUGAUCAGAUAUACUAGUUCGGAAGAGGCUUUGGGUUCCAACCCCCUGUUUUCUCCCGGACAAUGAGUAUAGAGGCGAUUCUGAUCCUA